This 497-nucleotide ribosomal RNA is filed under the name uncultured bacterium. RNAcentral's name for it is "partial 16S ribosomal RNA". It matches the Rfam family "Bacterial small subunit ribosomal RNA", at positions 28 to 507 of the family's 1533-position model. The record is from RNAcentral.
GACGAACGCUGGCGGCGUGCCUAAUACAUGCAAGUUGAGCGAUGAAGCUUGGUGCUUGCACCAAUUUGAAGAGCAGCGAACGGGUGAGUAACGCGUGGGGAAUCUGCCUUUGAGCGGGGGACAACAUUUGGAAACGAAUGCUAAUACCGCAUAACAACUUUAAACAUAAGUUUUAAGUUUGAAAGAUGCAAUUGCAUCACUCAAAGUUGAUCCCGCGUUGUAUUAGCUAGUUGGUGAGGUAAAGGCUCACCAAGGCGAUGAUACAUAGCCGACCUGAGAGGGUGAUCGGCCACAUUGGGACUGAGACACGGCCCAAACUCCUACGGGAGGCAGCAGUAGGGAAUCUUCGGCAAUGGACGAAAGUCUGACCGAGCAACGCCGCGUGAGUGAAGAAGGUUUUCGGAUCGUAAAACUCUGUUGGUAGAGAAGAACGUUGGUGAGAGUGGAAAGCUCAUCAAGUGACGGUAACUACCCAGAAAGGGACGGCUAACUACGUG